This 1346-nucleotide ribosomal RNA is filed under the name Renicola sp. DCHF 2232. Its description in RNAcentral is "LSU rRNA". It matches the Rfam family "Eukaryotic large subunit ribosomal RNA", at positions 35 to 962 of the family's 3401-position model. The record is from RNAcentral. Lineage: Eukaryota; Metazoa; Platyhelminthes; Trematoda; Plagiorchiida; Renicolidae.
UAAGCAUAUCACUAAGCGGAGGAAAAGAAACUAACAAGGAUUCCCCUAGUAACGGCGAGUGAACAGGGACAAGCCCAUCACCGAAGUCUGUGCCCAUUUGGUCACUAGACAAUGUGGUGUUUAGGUCGAUUCGCGGAGGCACUGCUCCACCCUAAGUCCAGCAAUGAGUACGGUGGUGUGGAUAUGGCCCACAGAGGGUGAAAGGCCCGUGGGGGUGGAGGUCAGGUGUGUCAGUGUCUCUCUGAGUAGAUCUUGGAGUCGGGUUGUUUGUGAAUGCAGCCCAAAGUGGGUGGUAAACUCCAUCCAAGGCUAAAUACUAGCACGAGUCCGAUAGCAAACAAGUACCGUGAGGGAAAGUUGAAAAGUACUUUGAAGAGAGAGUAAACAGUGCGUGAAACCGCUCAGAAGUAAACGGGUGGAGUUGAACUGCAAACACUGAGAAUUCAAACGGUGGGUAUGGCUUAGACUUGGUUGAUUCGGUUGAGCUCGAGAGUCUGUGUGGUGACAGGUCACCGCCUUGUGGUGGUGGUGCGCGGUGCACUUACCAUGUGUUGUGCGCUCUCGAUGCUUCGUAUCGACCUGCCGUUGCACUUUCUCAGUGUGAUCACCACGACCGAUGCUGCUGUCAGGCUAUUGUGAUCAAACUGUUCCCACUUAGUCCUUGUGACUUUGUUGGUAUGGGAUGGCAGGUAACUCGGUAGGUCUAUUGCCUGUGGUUCGCCUCAGGUGUUGUCAUAUCGAGUGUAAGGAGCCGAUUGCAAUGGUUCUGUGCAGUGUGUCGGAGAUGACGGCUUGUGGUGUGUGUGUGCGCACCAGUUUGAUCGGCGUUUUCGAGUCUGGUUAUGUAGUUGCCUGUUAAAGCAGGCCUUGUAAUGGCUGGAGUUCGUUCGAUUGAUGGUUGUGUAUACGACACGUGUAAGGGCCAAUAGUCUGUGGUGUAGUAGUAGACUAUCCACCUGACCCGUCUUGAAACACGGACCAAGGAGAGUAACAUGUACGCGAGUCACUGGGCACUACGAAACCCAGGGGCACAGUGAAAGUAAUGGUCUGGUUUGUGACCAGAUUGUGGUGAGAUCCUGCCGUUUCUCACACGUGGUACCACCAAGCAUGGAGCGGUAGGCGCAUCAUCGGCCCGUCCCAUGACAACUGUUUUCAAACAAUACUCAGUCGGGGUGGAGCAUGAGCGUACAUGUUGCGACCCGAAAGAUGGUGAACUAUGCUUGUGCAGGUUGAAGCCAGAGGAAACUCUGGUGGAGGACCGCAACGAUUCUGACGUGCAAAUCGAUCGCCAGACAUGAGUAUAGGGGCGAAAGACUAAUCGAACCAUCUAGUAGCUGGUUCCCUCC